Cavia porcellus (domestic guinea pig) is the source of this 4372-nucleotide RNA transcript. It is a transcript of the gene named phosphatidylinositol glycan anchor biosynthesis class L, with no coding region annotated. The transcript has 8 exons. NCBI's taxonomy places the organism in Eukaryota, Metazoa, Chordata, Mammalia, Rodentia, Caviidae. The record is from RefSeq and is a predicted model, not a curated record.
ACCCAACGUCUGGCCACUUAACGUGUCCCCUCAGCCUCUCGGCUGUGGUGCCCUCGCUCGUACACGGGCCCGGGCGGCACCGCCCGCUGCGGGCCCCGGCGCGACUGCCAUCGCGUACAGGCUUGUGGCGCCCGCCGCUGGCGGACCGGCUUCCGCGCGCCCCCGGCCUUCCUCCUCCGGGCGUGGGAAAUGGAAGGGCGGCUGGCUGUGGCUUUGGCCUGCGACCCUUCCGCGGUGGGACGGUAGCGGCCACCACCAGCCAGAGAUCUGGAUAGAAGGACCCGGUCACCACGUGGCAGCGAUGCUCGGCGACGUACACCAUACUCUGGCACCAGUUCCUCGCCGAAACGCCGGGAGAGGCUGAUUAGUGCACGGUGUUACUCCUUAAUCUGUAGUAACGCCUAACGACUUUUAUCCUCAGGACUGGGACGUGCACUCCCGCAACCUUACUAGCCUGCUCCUACGUGAAGCGAUUGUACGGCUACCCCUUGGCCCCAUGCGCUCGGUUUUUAGAAAAGCCAUCAUUUACAUCUCAAAACUGAAAAGGAAAAAGUGGCGUUAAAAUUAGGCCUUUUUGCAAAACUUUAGGUACAGGCUAACCAUAUAAUUAGGAAAACUAGGGUUUUGAAAAAUGAGUUGAAGAGAGAAAGAAGCUCUUUUUCUACCAGUUGUAGUUUAAUUUUAGUAGCUUCCUUUUAAGAACAUUGUUCGGUAGGGUCAGACAAUAAUCUUAAAUUGAACAGCACGGGCUUCGAUUUUGCUCUAAAACCGCGCAGACACAAGACUAAAAAUCCUGCUAAAGAUGGAGACAGUACAGUACGUGGGGAGCUUCCGUGUUAAGACAGCAAACCCUACUUUUAAAAUGAAGCCACGACACACUUAAAUGCGGAACGCAGUUUCUGCGGGUGCAGUUUUCUCACCGGAACGGGAGCAGGCGCCAGCCUUCGCUACUACGCAGGCGCAGUGUCACUUACCCGGCAUGGGAGAGGUGGUCCUGUUGUGGGUCACUGCAGCGGUGCUGAUAUGGGCCUUUCUUCGGGUUUGGGACUCCUCAGAACGAAAAAGAACUCAGGAGCAAGCUGGUCUGCCGGGAGCUGGAAGCCGGACCCUCUUGGUGAUUGCACACCCAGACGAUGAGGCUAUGUUCUUUGCUCCCACCGUGCUAGGUUUGGGCCGCCUAAAGCACCGGAUGUCCCUGCUCUGCUUCUCUGCAGGAAAUUACUACAAUCAAGGAGAGAUUCGUAAGAAAGAACUUUUGCAGAGCUGUGAUGUUUUGGGGAUUCCACCCUCCUGUGUAAUGAUUAUUGACAACAGGGACUUCCCAGAUGACCCAGGAGUGCAGUGGGACACAGAGCAUGUGGCCAGCGUCCUCCUCCAGCACAUAGAGGUCAACCGCAUCAAUCUGGUGGUGACUUUCGACGCGGGGGGAGUCAGCGGUCACAGCAAUCAUAUUGCUCUGCAUGCAGCCGUGAGGGCCCUGCACUCAGAAGGAAGGUUCCCUAAAGGGUGUUCUGUGCUGACGCUGCAGUCUGUGAACGUGCUACGCAAAUACCUCUCCCUCCUGGACCUGCCCUGGUCUCUGCUGCGCCCGCCGGACGUCCUCUUCGUGCUCACCAGUGAGGAAGUGGCACGCGCCAAGGUGAAGGAGACCCUUCCUGGCUCCACGCUCUGAGCUGCAAGUUUGGGUCUCCUGUCCUGCAAAGCCUCUAGACAGCAAACCUCUACCCAGGCAGCAGGUCCUGCGUUUGCACUCCAAAGCCAUGUUCUGCCACCAUAGCCAGCUCCUGUGGUUCCGCCGCCUCUACAUUCUUUUCUCCAGAUACAUGAGAAUCAACUCACUGCACUUCCUCUCAAGCCUUGAAGAGUUUUCAGAUCUGAGGAGCAAAAGAGAGAAAUAGACCGGGAAACCCAGAGACCUGGCCCGAAGCUGGUUUAACUCCCUGAGCCAAAGGAAAUCACAGCCAGAGAGCUUCUGUGAAAGCCAGGCCAUGAGGCCAAUAUGCUACCCAAACUUCCUAAGGCUUCUUCUUCCGGGGGGAAGACCCCGAAAGAACAAAAACAAACCAGCUUCCGGAUCAUCGUAGCUACCUGCUAGCUUUUCACGUCUUUGGAAAAACAUUCUGCAUGAUGACACAGUGUGUGUCAAACACCUGGCCCAGAGCUUAGACAGGCUCUUACCACAAAUGAAUGUAAAAGUGCUCUAAAAACACUUCACAGAUAUGAUUUGCACAUUGAUUCCGGAGCAGAGCAUCUUGGUUCAUUUUCUGUUGCUAUACCUGAAUACCACGAACUCAGUAAUUUAUGAAAAAUAAGAGGUUUAUGUAGCUCAUGAUUCUGGAGGCUGGGACAUCCAAAGCAUGGUGCUAACAUCUGCUUGGCAUAUGGUGAGGGGUUUUUCACUGCAUCCUCACAAGGCAGAGGAUGUAACAUGGAGCGAGACAGAGCAAGCACGCAAGUACUCAGUUUUACAACAGAGUCACUCCCACAAUGACCCAUUAACCCCCUAAUCCAUGAAUGGCCUUUACCUCCCAAAGGGUCUCACCUUGCAAGUCAGAUGCACUGGGGACCGUGUCUCUAACUUGGCUUUGAGGGGCCACACCCAAGCCAUAUAUAUAGGCUCACAUAUGCACACACGUACACAUGCUAUAGUCCAAAAAGAAGAAGGAAAAAAUACCACUACUUAUUGAAUUAGCUCAACCAUAAUUCCUUAGAUUUUUCUUUGUGCACUACUUGCUAGAACGCGAAUCUAAGGAAACCGUGCUGUGUUUAACAUGACUUACACUGAUUGAAGCUCCCGAGUGCCUUUCACAUGAAGACCUUGCCCUGGAAGAGCUUACAAGUGACAAUCUCAGAUCUUAAGCUUUUUUUUUUUUUUUUAUUGGUACCGAGGAUCGAGCUCACGACUGCCUGCUUGCAAGGCAGGUGCUUAUGCCUCUGAGCUAAAUCCCCAGCCCCCAGAUCUUAAGCUUUUAGGAAAACGUAAGUCUAGAAGUUGUUUUUAAUUUAUUACUUUUCAAAUUACUUAUUUAUUUAUUUGCAGAACUGGGGAUUGAACUCAUAGUCUUCAUACUGAACAACUUAGAACACCCUGCCCACCAACCCCCCUUUUUCUUUAAUUUUUGACACAGGAUCUCUCUAAGUUGCUAAGUUGCUCAGGUCAGGCUUGAACAUGUGAUCCUCUUGCCUCAGCCUCCCAGAGUGCUGAGAUUACAUGAAAUUUGUUUUGAAAAAAUGUAAGGAUCUAAAUGUCUUCAAAUUGCCCUACAAAGAAAAGCUGAGAAUUCUGGCUUGGCAGCUACUUCCUGAGGUGGGAAAGCUCAGUUGUGAGGAAACCUACUGGCGACCCUGGGCUAGAAGCUAGAAUCCCGGGCAACGUAAUUACAGGCGAGGCACCGAACUCUCCUCUGCCUCGAUCUUUCAUCUGCAAAAUGGUGACUAUUAAUGGUCCAACCUUAGAACUCACCAAGAAGACGCUGCAUUAAGAGGCAAUAGCAGGAUAUGGCUCACAGAAACAAAGACCAGCUGCUACUGCUGUGUUCUUCUGAGAGAGCAUAAAUACAGUCUCGAGCUCUAAGCAGAGGGACUGGCAUGUCCAAUCUCUCUGAGAACAGUUUGGUGAUUUCUAGAAAACAUACUUAUACUUUGACCCAGCAUUUCCAUUAAACUAAUUUACACUAUAGAUUUACUCCACAUCCUCAAGAAGUAUGUCAACUGCAGACAUUAAAACACCCAUUCUAAUAGUAAAUUAUCGACACGGUCAAAAUGUCCCCCAAUUAACAGUUGGUGAAAUUAAUUGUGAGUGUGUUUUGUUUUAGUAAGGUGGUACAUCAAUAUGGAAAGAUUUAUAAAUCUUUUUGGUUAUAAAACCAAAAUGCACGACAGUGUUAGAUAAUGCAGCCAUUCGGGAGGGGGGAAAGUAUGUUUCUAUGCACGCUACAUGCCUAUCAAUGUAAAAGUGAUCCCAGUAAUUGCUUGUCUUUGAAGAAAAGAAUUGGGAAAGAGGGAAGGAAUUUAUACCUUUUGAAUUUUGUACAAUUUGCAUGUAUUGCUACCUAUUCAAAAAUAUCUUCAAAUCUUAGAGGUUAGAAAGUUACAUAGAAAGCCAGGCAUGGUGGCAAUAAUCCCAGCAUUUAAGAGGCUGAGGCAGGAGGAUUGCUAGGAGUUUGAAGCCACCCUGGCCUGCACAGUGAGCUCAAGAUCAGCCUGGAGUGUGUAGUGAGACCCUGUCUCAAAAAAGCAAAACAAACCAAAGAAAGGUGUAUAGAAUUACACUGCUCCUGGUUGGUGAGAAUUGAAACUUAUUUUCUGCCUUGUACUUUUGUUUUAUUGUACAUUCCAAAUUUUUAAAAUAAAUUAAAAUCUAGAAAGGAAA